UACAGAGAGUGCGAGCGUUAAUCGGAAUCACUGGGCGUAAAGCGCGCGUAGGUGGAUAUUUAAGUCGGAUGUGAAAGCCCUGGGCUUAACCUGGGAACUGCAUUCGAUACUGAAUAUCUAGAGUAUGGUAGAGGGAAGUGGAAUUUCCGGUGUAGCGGUGAAAUGCGUAGAUAUCGGAAAGAACAUCAGUGGCGAAGGCGGCUUCCUGGACCAAUACUGACACUCAAGUGCGAAAGCGUGGGGAGCAAACAGG
Molecule: ribosomal RNA, 253 nt
Filed under: uncultured bacterium
Lineage: Bacteria
Description: partial 16S ribosomal RNA
Rfam family: Bacterial small subunit ribosomal RNA
Source: RNAcentral